Molecule: ribosomal RNA, 721 nt
Filed under: uncultured bacterium
Lineage: Bacteria
Description: bacterial SSU rRNA
Rfam family: Bacterial small subunit ribosomal RNA
Source: RNAcentral
CGGCGCACGGGUGCGUAACACGUGUGCAACCUACCUUUAUCUGGGGGAUAGCCUUUCGAAAGGAAGAUUAAUACCCCAUAAUAUAAUGAUUGGCAUCAAUUAUUAUUGAAAACUCCGGUGGAUAGAGAUGGGCACGCGCAAGAUUAGAUAGUUAGUGAGGUAACGGCUCACCAAGUCAAUGAUCUUUAGGGGUCCUGAGAGGGAGAUCCCCCACACUGGUACUGAGACACGGACCAGACUCCUACGGGAGGCAGCAGUGAGGAAUAUUGGACAAUGGGUGAGAGCCUGAUCCAGCCAUCCCGCGUGAAGGAAGACGGUCCUAGGAUUGUAAACUUCUUUUGUACAGGGAUAAACCUACUCUCGUGAGGGUAGCUGAAGGUACUGUACGAAUAAGCACCGGCUAACUCCGUGCCAGCAGCCGCGGUAAUACGGAGGGUGCAAGCGUUAUCCGGAUUUAUUGGGUUUAAAGGGUCCGUAGGCGGACUUGUAAGUCAGUGGUGAAAUCUCAUAGCUUAACUAUGAAACUGCCAUUGAUACUGCAGGUCUUGAGUAAAUUUGAAGUGGCUGGAAUAAGUAGUGUAGCGGUGAAAUGCAUAGAUAUUACUUAGAACACCAAUUGCGAAGGCAGGUCACUAAGAUUUAACUGACGCUGAUGGACGAAAGCGUGGGUAGCGAACAGGAUUAGAUACCCUGGUAGUCCACGCCGUAAACGAUGCUAACU